Molecule: non-coding RNA, 86 nt
Organism: Glutinoglossum americanum
Lineage: Eukaryota; Fungi; Ascomycota; Geoglossomycetes; Geoglossales; Geoglossaceae
Source: the annotation of a GenBank genome assembly
GGUAACAUGGUGUAAUGGUAGCACGUAACGUUGUGGUUAAGCGUCUUGGCGCCGUUUUGGUCUGAGUUCGAUUCUCAGUGUUACCA